CACGGGGGGAGCAAGCGUUGUUCGGAAUCACUGGGCGUAAAGCGCGCGUAGGCGGCUCGGUCAGUCGGGUGUGAAAUCCCUGGGCUCAACCUGGGAACUGCAUUCGAUACUGCCGAGCUAGAGUGUGGGAGAGGGUAGUGGAAUUCCCGGUGUAGCGGUGAAAUGCGUAGAUAUCGGGAGGAACAUCAGUGGCGAAGGCGACUGCCUGGCCCAACACUGACGCUGAGGUGCGAAAGCGUGGGUAGCAAACAGG
Molecule: ribosomal RNA, 253 nt
Filed under: uncultured bacterium
Lineage: Bacteria
Description: partial 16S ribosomal RNA
Rfam family: Bacterial small subunit ribosomal RNA
Source: RNAcentral